UAGAGGAGUAUAAGCUGGGGAUGGUGAAGA
RNAcentral lists this non-coding RNA (30 nucleotides) under Homo sapiens (human). The record is from RNAcentral. Lineage: Eukaryota; Metazoa; Chordata; Mammalia; Primates; Hominidae.